RNAcentral lists this ribosomal RNA (253 nucleotides) under uncultured bacterium. Its description in RNAcentral is "partial 16S ribosomal RNA". It matches the Rfam family "Bacterial small subunit ribosomal RNA", at positions 524 to 776 of the family's 1533-position model. The record is from RNAcentral.
UACGGGGGGGGCAAGCGUUGUUCGGAAUUACUGGGCGUAAAGGGCUCGUAGGCGGCCAACUAAGUCAGACGUGAAAUCCCUCGGCUUAACCGGGGAACUGCGUCUGAUACUGGAUGGCUUGAGUUCGGGAGAGGGAUGCAGAAUUCCAGGUGUAGCGGUGAAAUGCGUAGAUAUCUGGAGGAAUACCGGUGGCGAAGGCGGCAUCCUGGACCGAGAUUGACACUGAUGAGCGAAAGCUAGGGGAGCAAACGGG